UGAUAAUUAGUUUAACCAAAACAAAUGAUUUCGACUCA
RNAcentral lists this transfer RNA (38 nucleotides) under Rhynchocyon petersi (black and rufous elephant shrew). RNAcentral's name for it is "partial tRNA-Arg". Lineage: Eukaryota; Metazoa; Chordata; Mammalia; Macroscelidea; Macroscelididae. The record is from RNAcentral.